UUGGAGGGCAAGUCUGGUGCCAGCAGCCGCGGUAAUUCCAGCUCCAAUAGCGUAUAUUAAAGUUGUUGCAGUUAAAAAGCUCGUAGUUGAAUUUCGGGAUCAUCAGGUUGGUCGUGCCUCUGGUAUGUACUUUCCUCGAUGGUUCCUCCUUCUUGAAGAACCGUAAUGCCAUUAAUUUGGUGUUGCGGGGAAUCAGGACUGUUACUUUGAAAAAAUUAGAGUGUUUAAAGCAGGCAAUCGCUUGAAUACAUUAGCAUGGAAUAAUGAAAUAGGACGUUCGAUCCUAUUUUGUUGGUUUCUAGGAUCGACGUAAUGAUUAAUAGGGAUAGUUGGGGGCAUUAGUAUUCAAUUGUCAGAGGUGAAAUUCUUGGAUUUAUUGAAGACUAACUACUGCGAAAGCAUUUGCCAAGGAUGUUUUCAUUAAUCAAGAACGAAAGUUAGGGGAUCGAAGACGAUCAGAUACCGUCGUAGUCUUAACCAUAAACUAUGCCGACUAGGGAUCGGAUGAUGUUAAUUUUUUAAUGACUCAUUCGGCGCCUUACGGGAAA
Molecule: ribosomal RNA, 548 nt
Filed under: uncultured Glomeromycotina
Lineage: Eukaryota; Fungi; Glomeromycota
Description: SSU rRNA
Rfam family: Eukaryotic small subunit ribosomal RNA
Source: RNAcentral